UAGGGAAUCUUCCACAAUGGACGCAAGUCCGAUGGAGCAACGCCGCGUGAGUGAAGAAGGGUUUCGGCUCGUAAAGCUCUGUUGUUAAAGAAGAACGUGGGUAAGAGUAACUGUUUACCCAGUGACGGUAUUUAACCAGAAAGCCACGGCUAACUACGUGCCAG
This 164-nucleotide ribosomal RNA is filed under the name uncultured bacterium. RNAcentral's name for it is "partial 16S rRNA". It matches the Rfam family "Bacterial small subunit ribosomal RNA", at positions 355 to 511 of the family's 1533-position model. The record is from RNAcentral.